GCAAGUCGAACGGCAGCACGGUAAGAGCUUGCUCUUAUGGGUGGCGAGUGGCGGACGGGUGAGGAAUACAUCGGAAUCUACCUUUUGGUGGGGGAUAACGUAGGGAAACUUACGCUAAUACCGCAUACGCCCUUCGGGGGAAAGCCGGGGACCAGCAAUGGCCUGGCGCUGAUAGAUGAGCCGAUGUCGGAUUAGCUAGUUGGUGAGGUAAUGGCUCACCAAGGCGACGAUCCGUAGCUGGUCUGAGAGGAUGAUCAGCCACACUGGAACUGAGACACGGUCCAGACUCCUACGGGAGGCAGCAGUGGGGAAUAUUGGACAAUGGGCGCAAGCCUGAUCCAGCCAUACCGCGUGGGUGAAGAAGGCCUUCGGGUUGUAAAGCCCUUUUGUUGGGAAAGAAAAGCAUUCGGUUAAUACCCGGGUGUUCUGACGGUACCCAAAGAAUAAGCACCGGCUAACUUCGUGCCAGCAGCCGCGGUAAUACGAAGGGUGCAAGCGUUACUCGGAAUUACUGGGCGUAAAGCGUGCGUAGGUGGUGGUUUAAGUCCGUUGUGAAAGCCCUGGGCUCAACCUGGGAAUUGCAGUGGAUACUGGAUCACUAGAGUGUGGUAGAGGAUAGUGGAAUUUCCGGUGUAGCAGUGAAAUGCGUAGAGAUCGGAAGGAACAUCUGUGG
Molecule: ribosomal RNA, 673 nt
Filed under: uncultured soil bacterium
Lineage: Bacteria
Description: bacterial SSU rRNA
Rfam family: Bacterial small subunit ribosomal RNA
Source: RNAcentral